Long non-coding RNA from Oncorhynchus tshawytscha (Chinook salmon), 582 nucleotides. Lineage: Eukaryota; Metazoa; Chordata; Actinopteri; Salmoniformes; Salmonidae. The record is from Ensembl.
AGGCUGGUUGAAUGAGUUGUCUAUGAAAGCUACUUCAUCUGUAAGAAAACAGGCGGCUGCACCAGUGACUGUAAGUUAUGUGAUUUCCUCAUAUGAAAUUAAAAGUAUGUUUGUAGCCUACGCAGUUAUAAAAUGGCUGUUGAAACUGUGGCACAUAUUUCUCAGUACAUUAGAAGUCAGAUAAAUGUGUUGAGAUGUAGGAAAGAUAGGCAAACUCUCGUUGGUCUUGGCUUUCUACACACGAUAAGGUUAGUCGAUGUCAGACAUUCAAUAGUCAGAGUAGGUUUGAGUUAUGAUCACUUAUCAUGCUGACAAACCUGAUGGUCUCUGUGAACUGAUCUGAACAGGUUUAGACUGGUCAUCUAUGAUAUGUAGGUUAUAUACAGUACAUUCUCUGUCCUGCUACUGGUAGGACUAUAACAUUAUGUGAACUGAUCUGAACAGGUUUAGGCUGGUCAUCUAUGAUAUGUAGGCUAUAGCUGAGGUAUAGACCUUGAUCUGCAUAUCACUAACAACCCACUACUAUACAUUAUAACCUAGUCUACUUUACAUAAUAUAACAUCUACAUAUCACUAACAACCC